This 466-nucleotide ribosomal RNA is filed under the name uncultured bacterium. RNAcentral's name for it is "partial 16S ribosomal RNA". It matches the Rfam family "Bacterial small subunit ribosomal RNA", at positions 28 to 506 of the family's 1533-position model. The record is from RNAcentral.
GAUGAACGCUGACAGAAUGCUUAACACAUGCAAGUCCACUUGAAUUUGGGUUUUUAACUUCGGUUUGGGUGGCGGACGGGUGAGUAACGCGUAAAGAACUUGCCUCACAGCUAGGGACAACAUUUGGAAACGAAUGCUAAUACCUAAUAUUAUGAUAAUAGGGCAUCCUAUAAUUAUGAAAGCUAUAAGCGCUGUGAGAGAGCUUUGCGUCCCAUUAGCUAGUUGGAGAGGUAACGGCUCACCAAGGCGAUGAUGGGUAGCCGGCCUGAGAGGGUGAUCGGCCACAAGGGGACUGAGACACGGCCAUUACUCCUACGGGAGGCAGCAGUGGGGAAUAUUGGACAAUGGACCGAGAGUCUGAUCCAGCAAUUCUGUGUGCACGAUGAAGUUUUUCGGAAUGUAAAGUGCUUUCAGUUGGGAAGAAACAAAUGACGGUACCAACAGAAGAAGUGACGGCUAAAUACGU